This is a long non-coding RNA of Anopheles moucheti, 479 nucleotides long. RefSeq lists it as uncharacterized. The transcript has 2 exons. NCBI's taxonomy places the organism in Eukaryota, Metazoa, Arthropoda, Insecta, Diptera, Culicidae. The record is from RefSeq and is a predicted model, not a curated record.
UCGUAUCAACAGACGGGGAGUUCAAGAGAGACGAAGCAUACUAUCUAUCUCACUUACGCAAGCGAUCGUGCUCAUUUUAAGUUUAGUUAAGUUUGUUUAGUUUGAACGAACGUUUAGCCUCGAAUAAUAUUAUUCUCACAAUUAAUCUUUGAUUAAUCUUUCUGUGAACAAGAAUAAUCGGAUUAAUCUAUCCGAUUAUAGCUCUGGUAUCCAUUAAUCUUCCUAUUAUUGCAGUGACAAACGCGGGGGACUGGAGAAGGAGCCUUAAAAAACACACACAAUGCUGCAGAAAUGUCCAAUCAGCCAUAAGGACGCGACGAGAAGCAGGCUUUAUGAAAGAGUAAAAGCAUACACAGUGUAGUUUAAUUUAUAUUAACUACAUAUUGUACAAAUGUUUAUUUAGUUUCGUGUUCCUUAUGAGAUGCCCACUGGUGCCAUCGUUUUUAACCUCAAUUCGCCGAAUCUUGCUCAAUAUCGGU